AGAGUUUGAUUCUGGCUCAGGAUGAACGCUAGCUACAGGCUUAACACAUGCAAGUCGAGGGGCAGCAUUGGAGUAGCAAUACUCAGAUGGCGACCGGCGCACGGGUGAGUAACACGUAUCCAACCUGCCGCUUACUCGGGGAUAGCCUUUCGAAAGAAAGAUUAAUACCCGAUGGUAUAAAGAGUUCGCAUGUUCUCUUUAUUAAAGAAUUUCGGUAAGCGAUGGGGAUGCGUUCCAUUAGAUAGUUGGCGGGGUAACGGCCCACCAAGUCUACGAUGGAUAGGGGUUCUGAGAGGAAGGUCCCCCACAUUGGAACUGAGACACGGUCCAAACUCCUACGGGAGGCAGCAGUGAGGAAUAUUGGUCAAUGGACGAGAGUCUGAACCAGCCAAGUAGCGUGAAGGAUGACUGCCCUAUGGGUUGUAAACUUCUUUUAUAAGGGAAUAAAGUGAGGGACGUGUCCCUUUUUGUAUGUACCUUAUGAAUAAGGAUCGGCUAACUCCGUGCCAGCAGCAGC
This 517-nucleotide ribosomal RNA is filed under the name uncultured bacterium. Its description in RNAcentral is "bacterial SSU rRNA". It matches the Rfam family "Bacterial small subunit ribosomal RNA", at positions 8 to 518 of the family's 1533-position model. The record is from RNAcentral.